Molecule: ribosomal RNA, 1239 nt
Filed under: Bacillus cereus
Lineage: Bacteria; Bacillati; Bacillota; Bacilli; Caryophanales; Bacillaceae
Description: bacterial SSU rRNA
Rfam family: Bacterial small subunit ribosomal RNA
Source: RNAcentral
AGUUUGAUCCUGGCUCAGGAUGAACGCUGGCGGCGUGCCUAAUACAUGCCAGUCGAACGGAUGGAUUACGGGCUUGCUCUUAUGAAGUUAGCGGCGGACGGGUGAGUAUCACGUGGGUAACCUGCCCAUAAUACUGGAUAUGUCCGGGAAACCGGGGCUAAUACCGGAUAACAUUUUGGACCGCAUGGUUCGCGUUUGAAACGCGGCUUCGGCUGUCACUUAUGGCUGCUCUCGCGUCCCAUUAGCUUGUUGCUGAGGUAACGGCUAAGCAAGUCCACGAUAGCCGCCCUGCGAGGGUGAGCGGCCACACUGGGACUGAGACACGCCCCAGACUCCUACGGGAGGCAGCAGUAGGGAAUCUUCCGCAAUGGAAGAAAGUCUGACGGAGCAACGCCGCGUGAGUGAUGAAGGCUUUCGGGUCGUAAAACUCUGUUGUUAGGGAAGAACAAGUGCUAGUUGAAUAAGCUGGCACCUUGACGGUACCUAACCAGAAAGCCACGGCUAACUACGUGCCAGCAGCCGCGGUAAUACGUAGGUGGCAAGCGUUAUCCGGAAUUAUUGGGCGUAAAGCGCGCGCCGAUGGUUUCUUUAAGUCUAUGUGAAAGCCCAAGGCUCAACCGUGGAGGGUCAUUGGAAACUGGGAGACUUGAGUGCAGAAGAGGAAAGUGGAAUUCCAUGUGUAGCGGUGAAAUGCGUAGAGAUAUGGAGGAACACCAGUGGCGAAGGCGACUUUCUGGUCUGUAACUGACACUGAGGCGCGAAAGUGUGGGAACAGGAUUAGAUACCCUGGUAGUCCACGCCUUAAACGAUGAGUGCUAAGUGUUAGAGGGUUUCCGCCCUUUAGUGCUGAAGUUAACGCAUUAAGGACUCCGCCUGGGGAGUACGGCCGCAAGGCUGAAACUCAAAGGAAUUGCCGGGGGCCCGCACAAGCGGUGGAGCAUGUGGUUUAAUUCGAAGCAACGCGAAGAACCUUACCAGGUCUUGACAUCCUCUGACAACCCUAGAGAUAGGGCUUCUCCUUCGGGAGCAGAGUGACAGGUGGUGCAUGGUUGUCGUCAGCUCGUGUCGUGAGAUGUUGGGUUAAGUCCCGCAACGAGCGCAACCCUUGAUCUUAGUUGCCAUCAUUUAGUUGGGCACUCUAAGGUGACUGCCGGUGACAAACCGGAGGAAGGUGGGGAUGACGUCAAAUCAUCAUGCCCCUUAUGACCUGGGCUACACACGUGCUACAAUGGACGGUAC